CCAGAACCUCGAGCCUGCUAGGCAAAUGCUCUACCACUAAGUUACAUCCCAGUCCUGUCAUUAAGUUCUGAUGAUAUCCUCCACAAGGUCAGAGUUCAAAGGAAGCUGAAGAAAUCAAGGAAGGCUCUAUGGAAGACCUUCCUGUGGACCCUAAAGUAUGAACAGGAGAACAGGUAGCAAGGAGAGAGGAAAGGGAGUGAGUAAAGUCAGGAAUAGAAGCCAAAAGAUGCUUUGUGUUAUGUUCUUUGUAUUGCCCAAUACUUGUGAGAUGAAUGAAUAAAAGUUUCUUUAAAUAAAUCAAAAGCAGAAAGCCAGGAAGGGAAUCAGUGGGACCCCCUGAUGCCAUGAUGCAAAAUGGGUAAGAAAGACAUGAAAAAAGCUGGGCGUGGUGGAGCACCCCUGUAAUCCCAACAGCUCAGGAGGCUGAGACAGGAGGAUCACGGGUUCAAAGCCUGCCUCAGCAAAAAAAAUCAAGGCACUAAGCAACUCAGUGAGACCC
This 499-nucleotide long non-coding RNA is filed under the name Marmota monax (woodchuck). Lineage: Eukaryota; Metazoa; Chordata; Mammalia; Rodentia; Sciuridae. The record is from RNAcentral.